GAUGAACGCUGGCGGCGUGCCUAAUACAUGCAAGUCGAGCGAACGGACGAUGAGCUUGCGUCGCGGAUGUUAGCGGCGGACGGGUGAGUAACGCGUGUAUAACCUACCUAUAAGACUGGGAUAACUUCGGGAAACCGGAUCUAAUACCGUAUAAGAUUUUGAACCGCGUGGGUCAAAAGUAAAAGACGGUCGUGCGGGCACUUAUAGAGGGAUCCGCGCUGCAUUAGAUAGUUGGUAAGGUAACGGCUUACCAAGGCAACGAUGCAUAGCCGAACUCAGAGACUGAUAGGCCACACGGGAACGGAGACACCGUCCAGACUCCUAAGGGAGGGCGCAGUAGCGAAUGUUACGCAACGGUGGAAAGCAUGACGGAGCAACGCCGCGUGAGUGACGAAGGUCCUCGGAUCGUAAAACUCUGUUAUUAGGGAUGAACAUCUGUGUACGUAACUGUGCACAUCUUGACGGUACCUAAUAAGAAAGCCACGGCUAACUACGUG
This 497-nucleotide ribosomal RNA is filed under the name uncultured bacterium. Its description in RNAcentral is "partial 16S ribosomal RNA". It matches the Rfam family "Bacterial small subunit ribosomal RNA", at positions 28 to 507 of the family's 1533-position model. The record is from RNAcentral.